UUAUUUUUAACAGUAAAUUGACAGUAUUGUCUUUAGUGUGCCAUAACAACAACAUCAUACAUGUAUUUUAUUAAACAGAAAGUUGAACAAACAUUUCAUUAGAAAAUGCAAUUAAAAAUGAACUGAUUGUGUUGUAUAGGGGUGUGUUUCUGUGCAUUGGUGUCUUUUGUGUGCAUGUAUGCGUGUCUGCUUGUGAAAUAUUUGUCAAACAUUUUGUUAAAGAUUGGACAAGAUCUUUGACAAAAAAAACAAAACACUUUAACAUUAUGUCUUAACAUUGCACCUAGUCGGGCCAGUUAGAUCUUUUCCUGCAUUCUAUUCAAAGGCAGUCUUUGCAGAUAUAACCACCUUCAUCACCGAUGCCAUUAUCCUCUCCACAGCUCUCGUGGACCAUGAAUUGCACUGACAGCAGCACACCCAGUCCUCUGUGGCCUUUGGGUCAUUCACAUCACCAUACACUCUCUGGCAGGCUGUCCAGGGGUAUUGCUUUGUGCUCUAUUCCCUUUUUGAUUUUUACUGUGGCCAUCCAACAGGAGAACAUGGGGCCUUAGGUCAUCUUUUGGCAGCAGCUCUGUAAACAUCUGACCCCACUCCAGAAACAGGUCACGGUUUAUCCAGCCGUUGUCAGAGACCCUAACUACAACAUUUUCUGACCAGCCAUAAAGCCACUCACACCUUAGUUGCUUGCCUUUAAAAAUGACCAUUGUGCGACUAAAUGUUCCCGCUGCAUUGAACACUGCAAGAACUGUCGUGGUGUCGUGGUAUGAUGACACAAGGUAUAAUUAUAUAAAUAAUAGUAGGCUAAUGUCUUACUUAUAUUUAUAAAAUUACAAACAGUUUGCUUGAUCAAAAUGUAGACAGUGAGCCAAAUUUUAUCAUCCUUCGCCAGUAAUGAGUCAUAAAAUGAUGCUUUGUUAUUAGUGAUUUGUCGGGAUAUAGAGUCUUAAACAAUUUUCAAAAUACAACUAAUCCGUUGGUAAGAACUGGUGUAAAAAUUAUACUACAAAUUUCUCUAAGGAGAAGGAACAAUUUCCAGUGACUAUCACCUUAACUUAUAAGAUUUCCAAUCAGGGGAAAAAAAGAAAAGAAAAGAUGAGACCCACAUUUGACUGGCAUUUUGCUUCAUGGGGUUCUCAGAUGUUCUUAAAUUAUGAAUGGCACUAGAUUUGUUUUUCUCGUUUGCCACACCAUAGUCAAACUAAUCAUUCGGUCACUCAACUGAUCUAAGGUGAAAAGUUUUUCUUCAUAGAUGAAAUGGUGUAACAUUAGUUUUAUCUCGAGUGUCAAUUUUCGACUCUGAUCAUAUAUAUCACAAAAGUUGUUAUACAGACUAUUUAAUGGAUGUUAUUCCACAGUUCAGUACAAUAAGACUAUACACAGUUGUGCCCACAAAAAUAUUAUUAGUUAAAAAAAAAAUCAUGAACACUGUUUUAUUCAAACACAAUAAAACAAUGUGUGGUGUAAUAUGCUUAGUUUGUCUUGACAGAGAUUGAUGAGGCUCAUAAUACACAGAUCUUGAGAUCUCAUGAGCCAGGAAGUAAAACCUCUUAAAUUCAUAGGAAUGCUUUGCCAUCCUUGUAAUUUUGCUUUUGUUUGGCUUUAAAAUAAGAUAGUAAUCUGGUUACCAACUUAGUUAAUAAUAGUGAGUGAUGAAUCUAGCUAAAAGAGCUCAGCUUGUCAUGUCAUUGUGAAUAUCUGUUUGGAUUACAAUUCUUGUCUUAAAGGCAAAUGAUGAAAAGACAUUUUCGGAAUAGGCUGGGUUUUAAAAAAAGGGAUGUUGCAUUUUAUUGUCUCUUUUUUGGGGGGCUCAUUUUAAUGGUCAAAAGGGGAAGUGACUGCAGUUUUGGUUUUGUAUGUCUUGAAAGAAACAGAGAUAUAGCCUACAUACAGAGCAAUUUGAAACACAAGGAUGCCAAGACCUUCUCUUCUCGCUUUGAUACUGGCCAGUGCUCUGACUUCUGUAACUGGUGAAUAUAGUAUCAGGCUGGUGAAUGGAUAUAAUGACUGCUCUGGGAGAGCUGAGAUCCUUUAUAAUGGCACGUGGGGAACCGUGUGCGACAAUGACUGGGACAUAAAUGAUGCAGCUGUGGUGUGCAGACAGUUGGGAUGUGGAAGAGCUGUUAGUGCAAACUCCAGCGCCGGUUUGGACAGGGAAGUGGUCAGAUCUGGUUGGAUAAUGUGGGAUGUUCAGGAAGUGAAUUGUCCCUCACACAGUGCUCACGCAGUAUUAUUGGAGUACAUAACUGCGGUCACCAUGAAGAUGCAGGUGUCGUCUGCUCACAGGACUGGUUAAGAUUGGUCGGUGGAUCUGAUUCAUGCUGCAGUGGGAGAGUGGAGAUCCUUCAUAAUGGCCAGUGGGGAACGGUGUGUGAUGAUGACUGGGACAUGAAUGAUGCUGCUGUGGUGUGCAGACGGUUACAGUGUGGAUCAGCCGUCAGUGCACCUCACAGCGCUGCCUUUGGUCAAGGCAGUGGAUCGAUCUGGCUGGAUGAUGUUGGAUGCUCGGGAGGUGAAGAAAACCUCACACAAUGUUCACACGGAGGACUAGGAACUCACAACUGUAAUCAUGGUGAUUUGCUGGUGUUGUUUGUUCAGCUGACCUGCAGAAGCCAUCUCUUUCCCUGAUCUCCACACAUGCAGCUGUUUCUCCUGGAGAAAACAUUCAGUUCAGAUGCACAACACCUAAACCAAGAUGCAAUGCUGAUGCUGAAUUCCACCUCUUCAUAAACGGAUCAUCUGUAUUAUCCUCCCAGAAACAUGUAUCUGGUGUGACUUUCAACCUUGUUAAUGUAGGCGUCUCACAUCAGGGCAGCUACAGCUGUAAUUACUCCUACAAAAACAGUCACCUUGGAGUGACACUGUUAACAUCACUGUAGUGCACUUGCAGCAGCCCAGCAUUCCCCGCAUUGCUCCUGAUGGACAGUCUGAUGUGGGGCCUCAGGGGCCGAUGAUCCCGUGGGGCCACAGUUUCACUAUCAUCUGUUCCACUGUAUCUCAGUAUACUGGAGGAUUCUUCCACCUGUUUAGAGAAGCAAAUCUCACCAGGAGUCAGUCAGCUGUCGAUCUCUCUGCCUCCUUCUCCUUUCCUCAGGCAGAUUAUUCCCAUGAGGGAAACUACAGCUGUGUUUAUGAAGUCAUUUUGUCCUCACGCACCUUCCGUUCAUCUGCCUCUGAACUGCUGGUCAUCACUA
Ctenopharyngodon idella (grass carp) is the source of this 3191-nucleotide long non-coding RNA. RefSeq lists it as uncharacterized. The transcript is spliced from 6 exons. NCBI's taxonomy places the organism in Eukaryota, Metazoa, Chordata, Actinopteri, Cypriniformes, Xenocyprididae. The record is from RefSeq and is a predicted model, not a curated record.